Long non-coding RNA from Haliotis rubra (blacklip abalone), 699 nucleotides. RefSeq lists it as uncharacterized. The record is from RefSeq and is a predicted model, not a curated record. The transcript is spliced from 3 exons. Lineage: Eukaryota; Metazoa; Mollusca; Gastropoda; Lepetellida; Haliotidae.
UCAAUCAGUGUCAUGUCAUUUGUGAGUCGGGGUCCGUGUGUCGGCUUCCUUGGGGUUGUCUCGUCUUAACGGGCACCUGUUGUCAAAAUUAAAUUGCUGUAAAUACAAUUGGAACUUACCUGAUUCAGGUGUUGACAGACGAAACCGGAAGCAAUGAGUCGGUAAUCAGUGGGCACGCGUGACAUUUUAUAAAAUCAACGGUUUUUGUACUGAUGUGGUCAUUUUCAAUUUUUGUCUUGAAAUCACGACCAAAUUGGGUCAGAGAAUGUUUUCAUACCUGUCAAUCGAAAAAGGAAUACACAUUUGUUAUUACCCACAAUGCCCCUACACACAAUUGCCGCCAUUUUGUCACUUGAUCUCAUGAGAAGUUGUUUUGAAAGUAGGCCAAAUCUGUGUCUCCCGUUAUCAACACAAUAAGGAACCCAACACAAUGGAUUAUUCCUUCGCUUGUACAUGUUAUCUGAAUCAAGACAAUGGCAAUGAGAGUUACACGAGAAGCUCUGGAGCUUCGGGUAGGUGAAAAUUUGAAAACAGGAGCAGUUGUGGAUCGCGGAGGGAGAAACGGAACAUUCUACGACCAUGUCAGCAUUCCAUUCGGCCAGUGUUUGAAAAACUGAAGAUGAUCAACUGAUCUUGACCUACAACAGAAGCAGUUUGGCGGUUUUGGACGAACAAGAGGGUUCGUUCACCUUAGAAGAC